UACGUAGGGUGCGAGCGUUAAUCGGAUUUACUGGGCGUAAAGCGUGCGCAGGCGGCCCGUUAAGACAGGUGUGAAAUCCCUGGGCUCAACCUAGGAAUUGCGCUUGUGACUGGCGGGCUCGAGUACGGUAGAGGGGGGUGGAAUUCCUGGUGUAGCAGUGAAAUGCGUAGAGAUCAGGAGGAACACCGAUGGCGAAGGCAGCCCCCUGGGCCUGUACUGACGUUCAUGCACGAAAGCGUGGGGAGCAAACAGG
RNAcentral lists this ribosomal RNA (253 nucleotides) under uncultured microorganism. RNAcentral's name for it is "partial 16S ribosomal RNA". It matches the Rfam family "Bacterial small subunit ribosomal RNA", at positions 524 to 776 of the family's 1533-position model. The record is from RNAcentral.